RNAcentral lists this long non-coding RNA (233 nucleotides) under Elaeis guineensis (African oil palm). Its description in RNAcentral is "long non-coding RNA (EGUI_LNC047478)". The record is from RNAcentral. Lineage: Eukaryota; Viridiplantae; Streptophyta; Magnoliopsida; Arecales; Arecaceae.
GGGUUAAGGUAAGAAAAAAUAGUUUAUUAUAUGUAAUCAGAUUUAUUAGGAAUUAUUUUUCAUUGUAUACGAUUUCUGGUAUGCUAUUUUUUUUAUAUAUCGAAGGUAGAACCAUUCUAAUGCUAUAGGCCCUCAUGGAAAACUAUUUCCUUAUUUAAGAAAAUUAAAGAUUGUGUACAGUAAAGAUCAGGCAACUGGUGAAGCAGCAACAGAUGUAGAGGAUGGUUGUGUAG